UGGGGAAUUUUGGACAAUGGGCGCAAGCCUGAUCCAGCCAUGCCGCGUGCAGGAUGAAGGCCCUCGGGUUGUAAACUGCUUUUGUACGGAACGAAAAGCCUCUUUCUAAUAAAGAGGGGUGAUGACGGUACCGUAAGAAUAAGCACCGGCUAACUACGUGCCAGCAGCCGCGGUAAUACGUAGGGUGCGAGCGUUAAUCGGAAUUACUGGGCGUAAAGCGUGCGCAGGCGGUCUUGCAAGACAGUGGUGAAAUCCCCGGGCUUAACCUGGGAACUGCGUUUGUGACUGCAAGGCUGGAGUACGGCAGAGGGGGGUGGAAUUCCACGUGUAGCAGUGAAAUGCGUAGAGAUGUGGAGGAACACCGAUGGCGAAGGCAGCCCCCUGGGCCUGUACUGACGCUCAUGCACGAAAGCGUGGGGAGCAAACA
This 427-nucleotide ribosomal RNA is filed under the name uncultured bacterium. RNAcentral's name for it is "bacterial SSU rRNA". It matches the Rfam family "Bacterial small subunit ribosomal RNA", at positions 355 to 774 of the family's 1533-position model. The record is from RNAcentral.